This 447-nucleotide ribosomal RNA is filed under the name uncultured bacterium. RNAcentral describes it as "bacterial SSU rRNA". It matches the Rfam family "Bacterial small subunit ribosomal RNA", at positions 355 to 825 of the family's 1533-position model. The record is from RNAcentral.
UGGGGAAUAUUGGACAAUGGGCGCAAGCCUGAUCCAGCCAUGCCGCGUGGAUGAAGAAGGCCCUAGGGUUGUAAAGUCCUUUCGACGGAGACGAUAAUGACGGUAUCCGUAGAAGAAGCCCCGGCUAAUUUCGUGCCAGCAGCCGCGGUAAUACGAAAGGGGCUAGCGUUGUUCGGAAUUACUGGGCGUAAAGCGCACGUAGGCGGUCGUGUAAGAUGGGGGUGAAAUCCCGGAGCUCAACUCCGGAACUGCCUUCAUGACUGCAUGGCUAGAGGAUGCGAGAGGUUGGCGGAAUUCCGAGUGUAGAGGUGAAAUUCGUAGAUAUCGGGAGGAACACCAGUGGCGAAGGCGGCGAUCUGGGUCGAUACUGACGCUGAGGUGCGAAAGCGUGGGGAGCAAACAGGAUUAGAUACCCGGGUAGUCCCUGAGCGGGCUGGCAAGGCGCAU